CUAUAUAUAUAAAAAAUGUUCCUUCUCUCUUAUGCUGCCACGUCAUUAAGUCGUUCAUCCUCAGACUGACGUGUGUCCCUCCUAAACAAAACUCUGCGUUUCAUUUUUUUUUGCAAUUCGGUCGCCCCCCUCCGUUGUGACCUACUUCCUUCGCAGCGUGAGCCCACGUUCAUCGUUUCGUCGCUGCGACUUCCUAUACUCUCGCAACAGAACCCAUGGUAUUUCCUAGCUCCCAAAGUCAUCGAUCUCACCUCCAAUUGGAGUCCGAUUUUAAUUUUGUGAUGAAUCUCUGCCUCAAUCUCGGUUAAUAUAGAGCAGCAUUAUGUGGCUCAGGGUUCGAGUAUUGUUCGCUACUUUCAUAAGAACGAGAGGUUCGACAAUGUGGAGCUCUCUGGUGUUGCUAAGAAUAUUGGUGAUCACAUCUCUCAACUAUUUCCCUCCGGCGCCAUAGGUGAAGCUCUUAUACUCUUCUUUCAGUCAAAGCAGUUUAUUGAAUCACUAGGAAAUAUAUGGGGAAGAUCUAGAUGAUUUGAAUGUGGCAUUGUAUUUGGAGUGGAAGUAGCUUUGGGUUAUGAGGAGAUUUGUUCAGAUUCUUCUGGGAACAGAAUGUUUAUUAGGAGAAAGCAUCAAUACAUGAAACUUAUCAAUCCUUUCACCAUGGAAGACAGAUUAAUGUCUCGACUACGGAGAGAGAAAAUGUCAUGGAGAAAAAUAUGUUUAGCCCCUUUCCAUCACAUUGCCAUUUAUUUUGAGGAUAUUGGUUUUACUGAUGGUACAAAAGUAAUUAACAAGAACUCUGGAGAUUUUAUUAGCCGAGCUCAAAGUUGUAGAAUUCCUUAAAUAAGGAAGUUGGAAGCUUUAGUUCUUUAUGUUAAGAGGAUAGUUGGAGAUGAGAGUGGAAUAUCUAAUAAUGGGAUUGGUACACAUCUCACUAUCUGUUUAUUAACGUAAGAUUUGUUUAUUA
Long non-coding RNA from Raphanus sativus (radish), 964 nucleotides. RefSeq lists it as uncharacterized. The record is from RefSeq and is a predicted model, not a curated record. NCBI's taxonomy places the organism in Eukaryota, Viridiplantae, Streptophyta, Magnoliopsida, Brassicales, Brassicaceae. The transcript is spliced from 3 exons.